Cricetulus griseus (Chinese hamster) is the source of this 864-nucleotide non-coding RNA. The record is from RefSeq and is a predicted model, not a curated record. Lineage: Eukaryota; Metazoa; Chordata; Mammalia; Rodentia; Cricetidae.
AGUUCUAAAAAAUGUAGUUCAGACAUUUCCCAAGUGUUUCAUCAUCAAAUCACGGGAAGAACCUGGCUCCCUCCUCAAGUCAAUAGGGCAGCUACCACUGAGGCCCUGCAAAGGCAACAUUCUCUUUCCCAUAACAUCAGUGAUGACACAGGGAAACUGAGCAUGUUGGACAAUGGGGGCCACUUCUAAUACCCCAGGGAGAGGACACUCAGACACUGAGGCACAUCUCCAAAGGCCUGGCCCAUGCCCAGGGACUUUGGAAUCUUGUGGUUUGCCUCAAACUCUGGCAAGAGGGAAAAGUCCCAGUGCCUAAUUUAGUUGCUCCCUCAAAAGUAAACCAAAGUGAGUCAUGUGGGAAUGGAGAAACCACCAGUGCCUGAUGUCCAUCUGAGGAUCCUGAUGAAGACCCAAUGCUGAAGAUGUGGGGAUGUAAGUACCCGGGUGGCCUCUGUUUCCACUCCAAUGAGUCACUUGCAAGAUGAGCCAAGCAUGUGCAUGUCCAUCAUGCAAUGAAGGAUUGCCUCAUGUAUGCUUCUGCCUCCCCUUUGAUAUUUUUGUCAGGGAUGUGGAGUUGGGAUACAGAGACCUGAUCCAGCUGUUGCUGUGACCUGAGCAUAGGACACGGAGGCACUGUCAAGCAUCACUAUGGAAGAACAGGCUGCAGAGCUGUCUGGAUAUGGAAUGUUCGCACACGCCCUGUGUUUGAACACUUGGUCCCUAGCUAAAUGUGCUGCAUGGAUAUAAGACGCCAUGCCACAAGCUCCUGACUCUACAGACUGAGCAGCACGGCUGCCAUGUCAUCCUCACGAUGAUUGACUGCAUCCCUUGAAACCAUUAGCCCAAAUAAAAUCCUUCUUGCCUGAA